CCUACGGGGGGCAGCAGUGGGGAAUAUUGCACAAUGGGGGAAACCCUGAUGCAGCGACGCCGCGUGAGUGAAGAAGGAUUUCGGUACGUAAAGCGCUAUCAGCAGGGAAGAAAAUGACGGUAACUGACUAAGAAGCCCCGGCUAACUACGUGCCAGCAGCCGCGGUAAUACGGAGGGGGCAAGGGUUAGCCGGAUUUACUGGGUGGAAAGGGAGCGGAGACGGGUGCACAAGUCUGGAGUGAAAUCCCAUGGGUUAACCAUGGAACUGCUUUGGAAACUGUGCAGCUAGAGUGCAGGAGAGGUAAGCGGAAUUCCUAGUGUAGCGGUGAAAUGCGUAGAUAUUAGGAGGAACACCAGUGGCGAAGGCGGCUUACUGGACUGUAACUGACGUUGAGGCUCGAAAGCGUGGGGAGCAAACAGGAUUAGAUACCCCUGUAGUC
Molecule: ribosomal RNA, 440 nt
Filed under: uncultured bacterium
Lineage: Bacteria
Description: partial 16S ribosomal RNA
Rfam family: Bacterial small subunit ribosomal RNA
Source: RNAcentral